AGAAGGGGACUGGACUUGUCUCUGCUUCUCAUCAUUAAGGACUAUAUUAUAGACACUGUUAAGGGUUGGAGGUGGCUGCAUCAUCAAUAUGUUACUCCUUACCCCCAUCUAUGCUUCAUUAAGGCCCAUUAGAAACUGAAACACCUUAUUCUCAUCAUCUUCCUGUAUUAUACCUUUUUUGGCAGCACAAACACAUCUUUGCCCAUGAUUUGUACACAUUCUUUCUAUUUCAUCCCACAGACCUUUAAGUUUGUUAAAAUAUGAAGCUACAUCUAGAGACCCUUGAGAAGUGUGAGAAAGCUCUCUUUUUAGUUCAAAAUUUUUGGUGCUGUUGGCAGUUCCAUAUCUGGCCUGAAGCUGGGACCAUAUACUCUAGGCAGUAUCAGAAUACUGCACACUUUCAGCAAUUUGAGGGGACAGGGAGGCAGUUAACCAGGAAAUUACCAUAUUAUUGCAUCUAUCUCAUAGUCUUUGCUCAGUCACAUUAGUGACUGGUCGGGGACAUGUGCCAUCAACAAAACCAAUUUUGUUCUUAGCAGAUAACGCGACAAUCAUUUUCCUCCUCCACCCCCCAUAACCAUUGCCCGAGAAAGGAGUGGACACAAGAGAAACUCCAGGAACAUCAGAGGAGUAAACAAAAAGGGGGCUGGUAGAGUCCACUGAUGAGGUAUUGACAUUCAUAUUAGAAGUCAUGAACAAUAACCAGUUUGAAAUCAAAAAACAGUCUCAGUAAAGAGGUUAAAGUUGAAUCAGAACCCACAUGCAAAAUAUACAACACUUAUAACAGGGAUGGAGUUACCCUCCUUCUUCGCGACCGGAGAAGAACGGCCUUCAAUCGCCAGAUAAAACCCUAGGUCCAACCACCGGAAAUCGUAGGGUCUGGAAACUUAUCGGAAUAGGGUCAGGGACGUCGGAAAAUCACCCAAAACAUCCACCGAGUGAGGAUCGAGCCAUCGGAUAGCAGUAAAACCCUAGGUUCAACAACCAGAAACCCUAGAAUCUGGAAAGUCACCGGAAAGAGGUCAGGGAUGUGGGAAAAUCACCCAAAACAUCCACUGAGUGAAGAUCGAAGCAUUAAACAACAGUAAAUGUUCCAAUUUUCCGUUCAAUACACAUCGUUCUCUCGGUAAACAAAAUCUCUCACAAAUUUCCAAAGAAAAACUUUCAACAAAACUUCCAACGCGAUCGAUAACAAGUAACGGAGAAGAAUCCGAGGAUCAUCCCGCUCUGAUACCAUGAAAAC
Molecule: long non-coding RNA, 1243 nt
Filed under: Nicotiana benthamiana
Lineage: Eukaryota; Viridiplantae; Streptophyta; Magnoliopsida; Solanales; Solanaceae
Description: long non-coding RNA (NBEN_LNC011433)
Source: RNAcentral